AUUAAUUUAGGAGGGUAAAUCCGCUGAAUUUUAAAAAUUGCUAAAAUAUAACUAAGCGGAAGAAAAGAAAAUAACUAUGAUUCCUUUAGUAACAGCGCGUGAAAAAGGAUAAGCUCAAUUUAGAGAAUCCUACGAUUUUUUUUUAAAAGAAUUUUAGGAAUUGUUUCUUUUUUUAUAUAAUAUAUAUACUCUAUAUGAUAACUGUUCUUUGGAUUAUAUAUUACGUAAUGUGUAUAUACAUCUAUUUUACGGGUACACAAGAGCAAAGAUAUUAAAAAACAAAUAGGAAAUAUAAUGGAACAUUAUCCCAGAGAGGGUGAAAGGCCCGUACUUGUUUUAAUAUCUACCUUGUGCUUAAAUUAGAGUUAAAAAUAAAGAAUGAGUUGUGUUUGAUGAAUAUGGGACACUAAUACGUGUGAUAAAAAUUCACAUAAAGCUAAAUAUGUGUAGGAGACCGAUAGCAAACAAGUACCGUAAGGGAAAGAUGAAAUAGUACUCAGGAAUGAGCCAUUAAAUAGUACCUGAAAUCGUUAAGGUGGAAAGGAUUAAGAGCGUGAAGACGUAAGGGUUUUAUUAAAAAGUAUGUACAUGUGUAUAUAUAUAUAUAUAUGUAUGUAUAAGAGAGAAUUUCAUUUUCUCUUUGAUAAUUUCCUUAUUAUAAUAAACAAAAGUGAAUGAGAGAAAUUUUGAAGAUUGAAGUAAUUUUUUAAAAAAAUUAAAGAAUUAAUUAUAUAUAUAGUAAUAAAUUUUUAUUUAUUUUUAUUUAUUUUUAUGUAAUUGAUUAUUUUUUUUUUUUAAAGAAUGUGAAUGAAUGAAUGGAAAACACUUCUUUCUGAUUAAAAACAUUUCUAUUUACUUAGGAAUAUAAAAUAUAUAUGUAAAAAUAGAAAGUAUUUAUAUUUUUUGUUUUUAUGUAUGUAUAAGUUGUUUAUAAAAAAUACUCUCUUAAACCAACCGUCUUGAAACACGGACCAAGGAGUCUAUCAAAUAUGCAAGUGUAUAUGUUUAGAGGAAACAUGUAAAUUUUUUGUAUACACGCAUAGAUGUUCCAAAUGUGUGAUAUAUGUAAGAAGUGUGCACACAAAAGAUAUGUAUGUAUAUAUGUAUGUGUGGGUGGGCUUUUUAUAUAUUUUCAUUUUCAUUUGAUUUGUAGAUUUUGUUAUGAGAUGAAAAAAAUAGAAAUGGAAAAAGAAAUGAAAAUAAUUAAAAUUAAUUUUUUUUUUGUUUUUGUUUUUUUUUUUUCUUUUACUUUUUGUAAUUUUUUUAUUUUUUUUAUUUUUCAUUUCAUGCAUACAAAUUACUUAUUAUAUUAAAAACAGAAGAAUUAAAAUCAAGAAUUAUAACAUGUUAAGAAAUAUUUAUUAUUUUUUUUUGUGUUUCUUUUCUAGAUUUUUUUUUUUCUUAUGUUUUUAAUUGUGAGUAAAGAGUAUAUUUGAUAGGACCCGAAGGGCUUUGAACUAUACAUGUAAUAAAAUUAUUUGAGAACAUGAGAGUCUUUUUAUGGUUAAAAAAGUGUUAUUCUUAAAUAAAUAUGUAUCAUUAAUUUUUAGUGAAUUUGUAUAUAUUUAAGGAUCCUUUUUUUUUUCCAUUAUUACAUUGUAGGAAAUAUAAAAAAUGAAAAGUCUUAUUAGCUGGUUAUUUUCGAAAGAUCUCUCGAGAUCACUGGAGUUGAUUUUGAUAUAUUUUUAUCGUAUCAAAUAAAUUAAAAUAUAUAUAUAUAUAUAUAUAUAUAUAUAUAUAUAUAUACACAAUGUUGAUAUAAAAGAUCUAAUUGUGAAUUUGUAAAUUUAUAUUUUAAUUUGUUUUGAUAUUUUGGUAAAAAGUGUAAAUAAGAUAAAUAUAUAUAAGUAGUAUAUUAUAUUAUUUUAUUUAUAUAAAAAUAAGAUAACUCCAAGUGUACCAUUUUUUCGUAAAAAAAAAUUGGUAAUGAGGGAUGCUCCUAAUGCUUGGAUAAGGUGCCUAAGUAUUCGCUCAUGAGAUUCUGUUUAAAAAAAAAAGGUGUUGGUUCAUGAUAACAGUAGGACGAUAUUCAUGGAAGUUGAAAUUCGCUAAGGAGUGUGUAAAAACUCACCUUCCGAGUGAACUUGCCCUUAUAAUGGAUGGCGCUAAAGUGAAUUACCGAAACCAAGCCAUAAAAAGAUAAAGAAAAAAAAAAAAAAAAUAUUAAAAAAAAAUUAAAAAAUUAUAAUCAACUGGGGAAAAGGUGUAAAGAAGAAAUUUUUUUUUUUUUUUUAUUCCUUUUUUCUUUUUGUUUGUUUUUUUUUUUUUAUUAUUUAUUUUAUUUUUUUUUUUAUUUUUCUUGUUUUUGAACUUUUUAUGUGUAGAAAAUCGUGGGGUUUGUGUUGAAGCGAAAUACGUGAGUUUUCGUGGAACAUCUCCCUAGUGCAGAUCUUGGUGGAAGUAGCAAAUAUUACAAAUGAAAAACUUUGAAUGACUAAAGUGGAGAUGGGUUUCUUGUAUAUAGAUUUAUUAAUUUAAAUUUACAAGAGUUAGUCGCUUGCUUAUGAGUUUGCUACUUUUGUUUUUUUUCUGAAUGGAUGUCUCUUUAUUUUUUAUGAAGAGAUAAUGAAAAGAAAAGUUUAGCAUACGUGACAAGGGGGUAUGUUUUAUGAUCGAACUUGUAUCAACCGCUUCUCUGAUUAUACUAAGAGAUGGCAUACAUUUAAUCUCUAUCACCUAUAAAAUUUCCUCUACUCAAAUAAAAGUAAACAGGUUAAUAUUCCUGUACGUUCAUAAAGAUUUAAGUAAGAUAGGUAAUGGUAACAUUUGAAUGCUGAACUCCUAUAUAUAGUAAGUACGUUCGGAGUGCGUAUUUUGAAUUAUAUUCCUUUAUAAUUAUUGCACAUGAAAAUAUAUAUAGCUAGGCCUAUGUCUUAAAUGCAAGAGUCGUAUACUUAGGGUGGCUUAGCACAGCGGUCGGCAUAUGGAAAUUGGCAAAUAUAGAAGGAUGAAUUUAUUCAUAUAUAAUUUAUUAGAUCAUAGAUUUUAUUUUUAUAAUAAUUUCUUGUUCUGUAUUUUAUAUAUGAAAUUCAUUCUUUUUGUUUGUAUCAAUAGUAAUUCUAUUAAAAUUUAGGGAAUUACCCGAAACUGUAUUACUAUCACUGAAUGUAGGAGGGAUAUAUCUUAUAAGUUUUAGAGAUGUAAUUUAUAUUAUAUUCUUUAAUUCCUUAUUUGACCGUUCUUAAUUUUUAUAACAGCGUACCUAUAAUAGCCGCUUGAGGUCUCCUAGGUUAACAGCCUCUAGUUUAUAUAGAUUAUAUAAUAGCAAAGGAAGUCGUUCCAUAAGCACUCAGAUAAUAUAUAUAUAUAUAUAUAUGUAUAUAUAUAUGUAUAUAUAUAUAUAUAAUAUUUGGAUGUCCGGAAUUUAGGGAAAUAAAUUUAUAUUGAGUUAUAUUAUAGGAGUAAAAGUAAAUUAUAGAGAAGAGGCGAAAAAUUAAAGAAAGAACGAGAUUAGAGUGAUUCUUCGGCAUAUUAUGUAAAAUUAUAUAGGUGUGCACAUGUAUAAACUAGACGAAAGAUAGUUUCUGCGUGUAUGUAUAUAUAUGUAUACGUAUGAGACGUUUAGUAGGAGUGUAAAAGUUAUUAUGUGUUCAUGCCUGUAUUCUGCUUUAUACGUAUGUUUAAAGGCUUUCUCUUUUUUUUAAGUAUUUCUUUAAUUUUUAUUUCCCCCCUCUUUUCAAUUUUCAAUAUGUAUAUAUGUAUAUAUAUAUGUAUAUAUGUAUUGUUAAUAUAUACAUACUGUUUACUUAAUAUAAACUCAGUAUAGUAUACGGAUAAUGUUUGAGGGUUAAAUGGUUUCUAGUCACUGUGAAUGAAAUAAAAGAUCAUAUAAUAUUUAUAUUAUAUUGGCCUUAUUCUAUGUAUGCAAAUAUAUAUAUUAUAUAUAUGUAUGUUCUAUACGUAUAUAUAUGUAUAUAUAUCCUUGUUAUAUUAUAGCACGGUGAUACGUCCUUCCGCGUUCCUAGUAAGUCGGUGUUGAAGUGCUUCGAUUGCGUACAAUGGGAGGGGUGGUUGCAAUGAAGGUUUAUUAUUAUAUAAUUUUUAUAUUUUAAUAUUCCUAGUUGCAACAGCAAUUUAACCUUUGUCACGUAACACUGAGAAGGUUGAUUUUUUUUUUUUAUACAUAUCCUAUAGAAAUUGUAUAACCCUCACGACAUAUACCUUACUAUAAUUUAUCUAGCGAAACCACAACCAAGGGAACAGGCUUGGUAAAAUCAGUAGAGAAAGUAAGCUAUUAUUUCUGUUGAAGAAUUUAUUAUUUACCCAAAUUUGUAACUUUUGUAAAACUACUUAAGAGGUGUAGAUAUAAGUGGGAGUAAUUAAAAAAAAUAUAUAAAAAGAAAAAAGAAGAGGGGGAAAAAGGAAGAAGAAGAAUAGAGAAAAAGGAAAAUAAAAAGGGUUGGGGGGGAGAUCGGGAAAGGAAAUAAAGAAUGAAAAUAAAAUUAGUAUUUAUAUAUUUUUUUUAUUUUUGUUUUUUUUUUUUCUUUUUCUUUUUCUUUCUUUCUUUUUUUUUUUUCUUUUUUUUUUGUUUUUCUUGUUCUGAUUUUUUUUUUCUUCUUUUUUUAUUUCUGUAUAUUUUUUUUGAUUUACACAAUUGAAAUACCACUACUUUUAUGUUACUUUUACUUAUCCAUUGUUAGGAAAAAUGUAUAAAUAUACAUGUCAUUCUUAAUGUGCUUUGUAAGAAAUAUUAAAAUAUAUUUUAUAUAUGUGUUAUUUUUUUUUAUGAAGGGCCUUUUGAAUGCUGAAUAUUGAGAUAAAUUUGUUUUAUUAUGUAUAUGUAUAUGUAUAUAUGUAUAUGUAUAUAUAACACUUUGAUCGCACAUGUUCCUAUUUAUAAUAUAUACAAAUAUUUAUAUAUAUGUAUGUUGUUCAUAUAUUCGUAUGUGUUACAACUACAUUAUAUUUAUAUAUGCAUAUUUAUGGAGACAGAGUUUACAGUUUGUGGAGUUUAUUGGAUUAGUUUUUAAAUAUUAAGAAGAAUUGAAUUUUAUUAUUUUUUUUUUUUUUUUAUUUUUAAAUUAAUCCUUAUUAUUAUUAUAGUUUUUUUUUUUUUUUUUUUUAUUAUUAUGUUUAUAAAUGUAUAUGUGUAAUUAGAGGAAGAAUUAAAUACAAAUAUUCGGAUAGUUGCAAAAUAUAUUUAUGAUAUAUAUAUAAAAAGGAAAAAGAAAAAAAAUAUAUAAAUAUAUAAAAAUAAAUGUUUUGGAUAAUAAGAACAGGGAAUAAUAGUUAUAUACUUGUGGCUGCCGAGCGAUAUUUUUAGCGACGUAGCUUAUUGAUUUGAAAAUUUUGGCUCUUCCUAUCAUUGAGAAGAAGAAAUCUCAAAGUGUCGGAUUGUUCAACCGUUAAAAGGGAACGAGAGCAGUAUAAAAAGAAAAAAAAAAUUUUUUUUUUUAGUAACCUUCACGAGAUAGGUUAGUUUUUUACUCUACUGAAGAAUAUUAUUUAUUUUAUAUAUUAUAUUGUUCCAGUAAUCGAACUAAGUACGAAAGGAAUAGUUUGGUCAGAUAGUUAAUUUAGCUAUCGGUUGAAAAACCAACAUAGCAAAGAUUUUAGGUCUGUUGUGAUAAUAGCUGAACGCCUCUUAAGCUAGAAUCCAUUCUGUAUAUACAAUAUAUGAAUCGUUUUCUUUGUCUUGUAAUUUUUUUUUUUACUGUUAAUGUAAAAAGAGAACUUAUAUUAUAUUACAAAGCAUUUUUUUUAUAAAUGUUUAUAAAUAUAAAUAAUCCACUUUAAAAUUUAAAUACGUAUAUUAUAUGUAUAUAUGUGUACGUAUUUAAAAUAUUUAUUAGUUAGCAACAAAGAAUGUAAGAAUUAUCUGUAGACAACUUUUUUUGCCUCGGAGUGCUGUAAUCACGAAAGUAAACAAUUUAAGUUUUACUUUUUGAUGAGGCUUGUC
Molecule: ribosomal RNA, 5899 nt
Filed under: Plasmodium gaboni
Lineage: Eukaryota; Apicomplexa; Aconoidasida; Haemosporida; Plasmodiidae
Description: 28S ribosomal RNA
Rfam family: Eukaryotic large subunit ribosomal RNA (bases 1945-2130)
Source: RNAcentral